This 109-nucleotide small nuclear RNA is filed under the name Heterocephalus glaber (naked mole-rat). The record is from RNAcentral. Lineage: Eukaryota; Metazoa; Chordata; Mammalia; Rodentia; Bathyergidae.
GUGCUUGCUUCGGCAGCACAUAUACUAAAAUUGGAACGAUACAGAGAAGAUUAGCAUGGCCCCUGCGCAAAGGAUGACACGCAAAUUGAGUGAGGCGUUCCAUAUAAAA